GCCAGCAGUCGCGGUAAUACGUGGAAGACAAGUGUKAUUCAUCUUUAAUAGGUUUAAAGGGUACCUAGACGGUAUUUUUAGCCCAAAAUAGGGUACGGAUUUACUAGAGUUUAGAUGUGAGAAGGGGAGUAUUUUUAGUGUAGAGAUGAAAUUCUGUCAUACUUCAAGGACUGGCAAAGGCGCAAGCAACCUUCUAUGUAAAAACUGACGUUGAGGGACGAAGGCUUGGGUAGCAAUAAGGAUUAGAUACCCUAGUAGUCCAUGCARAGAAUUAUGAAUGCCACACGCUAGAUUUAUUUAGUGUGUAAAUAAAARUGUAAGCAUUCCACCUCAAGAGUAAUGUGGCAACGCARGAACUGAAAUCAUUAGGCCGUUUCUGAAACCAGUAGUGAUGUAUGUUAUUUAAUUCGAUGAUCCUCGAAAAACCUUACCACAAUUUGUAUAGUUACAAGCGCUGCACGGCUGUCUCCAGUUAAUGUCGUGAGAUUUUGGUUACRCCUAUAAAUUAACGUAAACCCUUACUUUAUUUAAUUUUUUUAAUAAAGUACUUGACCGCUAUAUUGGUUAUUAUAAAAGGGACUAANACAAGUCAUCAUGGCCUUAAUAUUGUGGGCUAUAGACGUGCCACAUA
RNAcentral lists this ribosomal RNA (631 nucleotides) under Chaenotheca sp. S38742. RNAcentral's name for it is "SSU rRNA". It matches the Rfam family "Bacterial small subunit ribosomal RNA", at positions 507 to 1231 of the family's 1533-position model. The record is from RNAcentral. Lineage: Eukaryota; Fungi; Ascomycota; Coniocybomycetes; Coniocybales; Coniocybaceae.